Molecule: ribosomal RNA, 386 nt
Filed under: uncultured bacterium
Lineage: Bacteria
Description: bacterial SSU rRNA
Rfam family: Bacterial small subunit ribosomal RNA
Source: RNAcentral
AUUGAACGCUGGCGGCAUGCCUUACACAUGCAAGUCGAACGGCAGCACGGGAGCAAUCCUGGUGGCGAGUGGCGAACGGGUGAGUAAUAUAUCGGAACGUGCCCAGUCGUGGGGGAUAACGUAGCGAAAGCUACGCUAAUACCGCAUACGAUCUAUGGAUGAAAGCGGGGGAUCGCAAGACCUCGCGCGAUUGGAGCGGCCGAUAUCAGAUUAGGUAGUUGGUGGGGUAAAAGCCUACCAAGCCUUCGAUCUGUAGCUGGUCUGAGAGGACGACCAGCCACACUGGAACUGGGACACGGUCCAGACUCCUACGGGAGGCAGCAGUGGGGAAUUUUGGACAAUGGGCGCAAGCCUGAUCCAGCAAUGCCGCGUGCAGGAUGAAGGCC